AAUAUUGCACAAUGGGGGAAACCCUGAUGCAGCGACGCCGCGUGAGCGAAGAAGGCCUUCGGGUCGUAAAGCUAUGUCCUAAGGGCAGAAACGGACGGUACCUUAGGAGGUACCCCCGGCUAACCACGAGCCAGGCGCCGCGGUAAUACGUAGGGGGCGAGCGUGAUCCGGAAUUACUGGGCGUAAAGGGUGCGUAGGCGGUCUUUUAAGCAAUAUGUGGAAGGCUACGGCUUAACCGUAGUUAGCAUUUGAAACUAAAAGGCUUGAGUGCAGGAGAGGAGAGUGGAAUUCCUAGUGUAGCGGUGAAAUGCGUAGAUAUUAGGAGGAACACCAGUGGCGAAGGCGACUCUCUGGACUGCAACUGACGCUGAGGCACGAAAGCGUGGGGAGCAAACAGG
Molecule: ribosomal RNA, 398 nt
Filed under: uncultured bacterium
Lineage: Bacteria
Description: partial 16S ribosomal RNA
Rfam family: Bacterial small subunit ribosomal RNA
Source: RNAcentral